AGAAAUGGAACAUGCUAGAGAAGAAAGAAUGGCUCAACGAGAUCGUGAAAUUAUGAACACGCCUUUAGAAGGGAAGUCUCCAAAUUCUAAAUAUUUUUGGAAGUCAAAGAAAGUGGAUGUGGUGCGAAUGAGGCGUGCAAGAGAAGCGAGAGCAAGAGAAGAUGGUCCUAGCACGACAAGAGAAGAUCAUCCUAGCACCAUAAAUUGGUUAAGUGAUGAUGAAUACAGUAGUUUUUGUAAUCGGAGCCCAUAAUUUUCCAAUCACUUUGGGUUGUAAUUUAUUAUUUAUUGAAUAGAGUACUUUAUGUUGUUUCCAAUUUAUUGAAUUCAGUACUUUAUUUAAAGUGAGAUUAAAUUUAUUUAAUUUGGUAAGUUAUUUUUACUAAGAGAAUAUUUAUUCAAAUGACAACAACACACCAAAUAAAAUUACAUAAACAUACCAAAUAAUAAAAAAAAUGAACUAAAAAUGAACUAAAAAAACACACCAACUAAAAUUAAAUAAACACAACAAAUAAAACCAAACACACUAAAUGAACUUAAUUAUCUUCAGCUUGUUUCAAUGCCUACUGGUGCUCUAUCAAGUCAUAUAGCCGGGCAUUGUGCAUAUAUUGUGGAGCCAAAAAUAAUCACAAGGCGACACGUGGAUUUUUGGACAAAAGAGGACAAAAAUACCCUUGAGGUACAA
RNAcentral lists this long non-coding RNA (685 nucleotides) under Malus domestica (apple). Its description in RNAcentral is "long non-coding RNA (MDOM_LNC011982)". Lineage: Eukaryota; Viridiplantae; Streptophyta; Magnoliopsida; Rosales; Rosaceae. The record is from RNAcentral.